This is a non-coding RNA of Violaceomyces palustris, 99 nucleotides long. The record is from the annotation of a GenBank genome assembly. Lineage: Eukaryota; Fungi; Basidiomycota; Ustilaginomycetes; Violaceomycetales; Violaceomycetaceae.
GCCCUGCUAGCUCAGUGGUAGAGCGUAUCUCUCCUACGUGACGAACAGUGUCUAACCGGAUUCAAGAUGAAGUCGUGGGUUCGACCCCCACGUGGGGCU